Molecule: non-coding RNA, 54 nt
Organism: Salmo salar (Atlantic salmon)
Lineage: Eukaryota; Metazoa; Chordata; Actinopteri; Salmoniformes; Salmonidae
Source: Rfam
CCAUAUGUCAAAUGUACGUCGCUUUGGAUAAAAGCGUCUGCUAAAUGGCAUAUA